Molecule: ribosomal RNA, 505 nt
Filed under: Vibrio sp. HDEP39
Lineage: Bacteria; Pseudomonadati; Pseudomonadota; Gammaproteobacteria; Vibrionales; Vibrionaceae
Description: bacterial SSU rRNA
Rfam family: Bacterial small subunit ribosomal RNA
Source: RNAcentral
AGCCUGAUGCAGCCAUGCCGCGUGUAUGAAGAAGGCCUUCGGGUUGUAAAGUACUUUCAGCAGUGAGGAAGGCGGAGUCGUUAAUAGCGGCCUCGUUUGACGUUAGCUGCAGAAGAAGCACCGGCUAACUCCGUGCCAGCAGCCGCGGUAAUACGGAGGGUGCGAGCGUUAAUCGGAAUUACUGGGCGUAAAGCGCAUGCAGGUGGUUUGUUAAGUCAGAUGUGAAAGCCCGGGGCUCAACCUCGGAAUUGCAUUUGAAACUGGCAGACUAGAGUACUGUAGAGGGGGGUAGAAUUUCAGGUGUAGCGGUGAAAUGCGUAGAGAUCUGAAGGAAUACCGGUGGCGAAGGCGGCCCCCUGGACAGAUACUGACACUCAGAUGCGAAAGCGUGGGGAGCAAACAGGAUUAGAUACCCUGGUAGUCCACGCCGUAAACGAUGUCUACUUGGAGGUUGUGGCCUUGAGCCGUGGCUUUCGGAGCUAACGCGUUAAGUAGACCGCCUGGG